This 460-nucleotide ribosomal RNA is filed under the name uncultured bacterium. Its description in RNAcentral is "partial 16S ribosomal RNA". It matches the Rfam family "Bacterial small subunit ribosomal RNA", at positions 338 to 795 of the family's 1533-position model. The record is from RNAcentral.
CCUACGGGGGGCAGCAGUGAGGAAUAUUUGUCAAUGGACGAGAGUCUGAACCAGCCAAGUAGCGUGAAGGAUGACUGCCCUAUGGGUUGUAAACUUCUUUUAUAUGGGAAUAAAUUGUUCCAAGUGUGGGAUUUUGUAUGUCCCAUAUGAAUAAGGCUCGGCACAAUCCGUGCCAGCAGCCGCGGUAAUCCGGAGGAUCCGGGCGUUAUCCGGUGUUAUUGGGUUUAAAGGGAGCGUAGGUGGAUUGUUAAGUCAGUUGUGAAAGUUUGCGGCUCAACAGUAAAAUUGCAGUUGAAACUGGCAGGCGUGAGUACAGUAGAGGUGGGCGGAAUUCGUGGUGUAGCGGUGAAAUGCUUAGAUAUCAGGAAGAACUCCGAUUGCGAAGGCAGCUCACUGGACUGCAACUGACACUGAGGCUCGAAAGUGUAGGUAUCAAACAGGAUUAGAUACCCGUGUAGUC